Molecule: long non-coding RNA, 448 nt
Filed under: Gallus gallus (chicken)
Lineage: Eukaryota; Metazoa; Chordata; Aves; Galliformes; Phasianidae
Description: lncRNA (ENSGALG00010020349.1)
Source: RNAcentral
CCAGAGUUGACACAAGUCACAUGCAAUCAAGUCUGUAUCCCUGGUGGACAGGCACUGUCCUAAUGUUCUCUGACUCACACCCAGGUUGUUUGCAGCUCAGCAGUUCUGCUUCCAGACACAUCACUUUGUGUUCUGAUGCUAACAUCUUGCUGAGAAAUUGCCUCUUGGCACGCUGUUUCUUGAAUCCUGUACCUUGCUUGAUUUGAUGUGAAGAUGAUGCUCUUUUUAGCACUUGCAACAUGUCACCUUUGAGAAGGGAAGUGCUGAGUCUUUGAAGCCUUCUUACCAUCACCCAAGUGGGACAGGUGUGCACCCCAAUCUCAAAUCAUCCCAGGCCAUUUGUGCUCUGAAUGCUGCAACUACCAAAUGACAGCGAGGCGUUACAGACUUCUCAGUCACUUCAGUGUCCACCCCAACAGCUCUUGCAAUGGAUGGUAGGUAACUUAGG